Cyanistes caeruleus (blue tit) is the source of this 2193-nucleotide non-coding RNA. Lineage: Eukaryota; Metazoa; Chordata; Aves; Passeriformes; Paridae. The record is from RefSeq and is a predicted model, not a curated record.
GUUCCACGGCCGGACUCGGAGCGUGAGCGCAGCCCUCUCCCGAGGGAGGAUGAGGGUCCGCAGUGUCUGGGAUGAGGGCCCGCAGCGGCUGGGACGAGGGCCUGCAGUGUCUGGGAUGAGGGCCCGCAGCGGCUGGGACGAGGGCCUGCAGUGUCUGGGGUGAGGGCUCGCAGCGGCUGGGACGAGGGCCUGCAGUGUCUGGGGUGAGGGCCCGCAGUGUCUGGGAUGAGGGCCCGCAGUGUCUGGGACGAGGGCCGCUCCCUCCGGGCUCCGCCGCCACCGGCAGGGGUCGGCCCAGGAGCGCUCGGAAGGCCAACACUGCCAGGGACAGGUGCAGAUGGGUCCCCAGAAAAGUGCUUGAGAAGAAUAUGCCUACAUAGAUGUGCCUAGCUUCGCCACGUGUCCGUGCUGUUACAGCGCUGCUCCCGGCCUGGCCAGUCCUAGAGGCAGGGAGAAGUCGGAGGCGCAGCAGCAGCGCUCUGGGUGCAGUGCACCGCGGCUUCACAGGAGGGAGCCUGACCUGCCAUCUACAACUGUCUAAUAACUGAAAUAACCCAAAAAAACAACCAGUUCCUUGUUACUUUACUUUUGUAAGCAUAGUUAAAUGCCACCUGCCCCACUUGUUGCCUCAGGGAACAGAGGGAAGCAAAUGUGGAGUAGCUGAUACUGUACUGCCACACUAACCUCAAAUUUGCUUCUGUCUCCUGAGCCCUGCACAGACAGGUUUGAAAACACGGCAUACUGAAAUAAGAAAUUGGUGGAAAAUAAGAUUUAGCCUUCAAAAUGGCACAAAAUUUUACCUAGUCUCUAAUGAAUCAACUCUGCAGCCAAAGUUAUGGCUUUUGCGGAUGAAAUAAAGGCAGCUGCUGCAAUUUGCAACAACGGCAAGAUACUGCAAAGCACACUGGGUAUGCCAAUGGAAAGUUAUUAAGUUUGAAGGAGAGAUGUCCAAACAACUCUAAAAUAUGCAAAGAAAGCUCAAUCAAAAUAUAAAAUCAUCUUCUCACCCCUCAACUCAAAUUAUAGAUUGCAAAGCUUCCAGCUGCUUAGAAUCUGAAGAUAAAUUAAGUAAUAUUUGGAAGACCAGCACCACUGCUACAUGUGAGUCCUCUUCCUGGAAUAAUGUGGAGUAUAAAUUGCGUUGCUCUCUGCUGCCUUAGACUUGGCAUGCUCUGAUUUUUUGUAGACAGUGUGCAUGCCAAGUCUGGUCAGCAUUAGACAGCUACAAAAAGUUCAAAUUAGAGACAUAAUUUCAAGAAAUGCAGUCAUUAAAUGUCUGAAGCAUUUGAACUUCGGGACUUAUUUUGGUGAGAUUAUGUAAAUGAUGGCUGUAAAUAAAAUAUUUCUUAGUAAUGUUCAGCAAGAAAAGCUACUUCUCUCCUAAGCUAAAUAUUCUUAUGAGAAUGUCAAACUCACAUGAUCGAUUUAUGAAGUGACACAGUAGCUGGAUGUGUGAUUCUUUCUCUUUUAUUCUGAAUAAAUUGAGAAAAAAACCCCACAGAUAUAAAGAGAAAAUUGUUUGAAAUACAGGUUUUUUUCAUAAAGACUGUAUCUAAGCUUAGUAGCUAAUUGUGCUCUGACAGUAGUUCAUCAUGGUCUACUCCUGUCACUGUUUGGAAUAACAGAUAUUUUUCUGCAUUAUAUAGGAAGAAGUAGUAGUCCAUCUUUGCAAAAUAUGUGGAGAAUGGGGUUUUUCAUCUCAGUUCCUUAUUUGUGGUGAUCUUAUACAUGCAACUUUCCCUUGGAAUGUUCUUUGACUCAUCAAAAUGUGAAACUGGGAUUCUCCCAAGGUAAUAGUUUAAUUAAAUUUUGCAAAGCACUUUCACAUUUCAAAAAUCAGUUGAAGUAAGUUCAGUUACCUUCAGAGAAGUUGCAAGAACCAUUGUAUAUUUCUGAACUUAUUUUGCAAAUAUUUUCACACAAUGAUGCUGAACAUUCAUGUUUUAGAAAAGGUGCGACUCUUUUCUGUACAUAGAUUGCUUUUCUUCUUCUCCUCCACCUUUCCCUUCAGACUGCUAGGCCUGAGGAAUUACAAUUUUGCAUCUAAUUAAUUCUACUGUUGCUUGACUGCAUCUGUUUGAAAUAUGUAUAAAACCUCUGAUACAGGUAGAAAAACAUUGAUUGUUUUCCUACGUUUCUAUUUAUUGUGCAGAACUGUGAGAUGUUUUGUAUUAAAAAUAUUGGAUCAUUGAA